GACGUAGGGCGCGAGCGUUGUCCGGAUUUAUUGGGCGUAAAGAGCUCGUAGGCGGCUUGUCGCGUCGACUGUGAAAACCCGCGGCUCAACCGCGGGCCUGCAGCCGAUACGGGCAGGCUAGAGUUCGGUAGGGGAGACUGGAAUUCCCGGUGUAGUGGUGAAAUGCGUAGAUAUCGGGAGGAACACCAGUGGCGAAGGCGACUACCUGGCCUGUUCUUGACGCUGAGGCGCGAAAGCUAGGGGAGCAAACGGG
Molecule: ribosomal RNA, 253 nt
Filed under: uncultured bacterium
Lineage: Bacteria
Description: partial 16S ribosomal RNA
Rfam family: Bacterial small subunit ribosomal RNA
Source: RNAcentral